This 164-nucleotide ribosomal RNA is filed under the name Cicca pinnata. RNAcentral describes it as "Phyllanthus pinnatus 5.8S ribosomal RNA". It matches the Rfam family "5.8S ribosomal RNA". From Rfam's summary of the family: 5.8S ribosomal RNA (5.8S rRNA) is a component of the large subunit of the eukaryotic ribosome. It is transcribed by RNA polymerase I as part of the 45S precursor that also contains 18S and 28S rRNA. Functionally, it is thought that 5.8S rRNA may be involved in ribosome translocation. Lineage: Eukaryota; Viridiplantae; Streptophyta; Magnoliopsida; Malpighiales; Phyllanthaceae. The record is from RNAcentral.
AUAACGACUCUCGGCAACGGAUAUCUCGGCUCUCGCAUCGAUGAAGAACGUAGCGAAAUGCGAUACUUGGUGUGAAUUGCAGAAUCCCGUGAACCAUCGAGUCUUUGAACGCAAGUUGCGCCCAAAGCCUUCGGGUUGAGGGCACGUCUGCCUGGGUGUCACGC